This is a long non-coding RNA of Sinocyclocheilus grahami, 796 nucleotides long. RefSeq lists it as uncharacterized. NCBI's taxonomy places the organism in Eukaryota, Metazoa, Chordata, Actinopteri, Cypriniformes, Cyprinidae. The transcript is spliced from 4 exons. The record is from RefSeq and is a predicted model, not a curated record.
AGGGAUGCCAGAUUGUGUGAAUCCUCCUCAGAGUUGUUGCCAGGUUGUACAAAUCCUCCUCAAGGUAUUAUAGGCCUCCUUGGAUGAUUUAUUGCACUGCUUGCUCAACCAGUGACACGAAGCUGUCAGAACUACUACUUUGUCAUAACUGCAGCUCUCCGUUGCCAUUUCCAGGGCUGGAGGAUAAAUCACAGCACUACACUAGGAUGAUGAUGAUGAUGUUGUUCUGCAGUAUUAUUUAAGCCAUGCACAAUGAUGCAGUUUCAAUCAGCAACCAUAUGGAAGGAACAGCAUGCUGUGUGAAUCCUGAAUCACUUCCAAAUAAACAAGAGCUAUGCAACGAGUGGAGUAACACAAACCCACAUAUAUGUAGUUGGUUGUUAUUUAAUGCAUAGGCUGGAUGAUGACGUGAUGCUGUGGGACUGAGAUGCAGUUGCAGUGCAUUAACCAGCGGGCGGCUACAGUAGCUGUCUUUUCCUCUGUCUCUCCCACAAGGCAACCCAGGAUAGAAGCCAGGCUUUACGCAUCCCGCAGAACUGCCAGAUCCUAGUGUGUAUGCAUGUGCACACGUCUGCACGUAUGUGUGUGCGUGCCACCCUCCCCUCCUCCUUCCUGCCGGCAUCAUCCCUCGCUCUCCAUCAGGGAUGGUGAGGGAGUGUUUAUGAGCAUGUGCUGCGAAUCACACAGAAUGAUGGAGGACCAACAGCUCCCUGGAUAAACCCUGCAGACUAAAACAACAUCACAACUCAAAUCAUGCACUUAAGGUGAGUCUCAAUCUUCAUGCAUUGAAUUCCUU